AUGCCCCAUGCCUAUGGGGCUCUGUGCCCCACGGCAUGGGAGUCUGUGCCCCACAGCGAGGUGGCUCGCUGCCCCAUAACCUGGGUGGUUUGUGCCCCACGGCAAGGCCCCACGUGCCCCAUGGCACAGCAGCCCAGUGCCCCACAGCAAGGGGGCUUGCUGCCCCAUAACGUGUGGUCGGUGCCCCAUUGCCAAGGGUCCACGUGCCCCAUGGCACAGCAGCGCAGCGCCCCACAGCGAGGGGGCUCAGUGCCCCAUGGCGGGGGUGCAGCGCCCCACAGCGUGGCAGCUCAGUGCCCUAUAGAAGGGGGCUCAGCGCCCCACAGCGAGGGGGUCAGUGCCCCAUGGCGAGGGGGCUCAGCGCCCCACAGCACGCAGGCUGAGCGCCCCAUGGCGAGGGCACACGGUGCCCCAUGGCGAGGGGGCUCACCCGCCCCAUGCUCGGGGGGCUUCCUGCCCCACACCUCAGGAGCUGGGCGCCCCAUAACUGGCUGCUCGCUGCCCCACGGCCUGGGUGCCCCACAGCACGGGUCCACCUGCCCCAUAAGGAGUCGCCUGGGUGCCCCACGGCGUGCCCACCCCCCCGUGCCCAUCCCAGCCCGUGCCUCAGUUUCCCCCCAGCCCCCGGCUGUGUGGGGCCGGGCGAUGCCGGGGGGGGGGGAACCGGGGCGGUGCCGGGGUGCAGGGACAACACCGGCCGCCCCCAUGUCCCCGUUCCUUGUCCCAGAGCCUGGGGGGGUGUGGAAGGGGGGGGGGGGGACACACACGCCGUGGGCCGAAGCCCCGGUGCCGGGGAAGCCCGGGGACGCCCGGGGUGCGUGGGUGACGUCGGCGGGGCCGGGCGGGCGCCGGGAUCUCCAUGGCGAUGCCGCACACACAGACAUUAAACAGAGCCCGCGUCGGAAGUCGGCAAAACCACAGCGCGUCACUGCGGCCGCCCGGCACGGCCCGGGCCCCCCAAAGCCCUCAGCUGCCCCCCCCCCACACCUCCCCGAACCCCAUGGGGACUUGUGGGGCUGGGCACGGUCCCCAGUGGGGCCAAGCGCCGUCCCCAGAGAGCUGUGGGGCCAGGCGGCGCCCGCUGUGGGGUGUGUGGGGCUGGGCACUGUGCCCUGUGGGGAUUUGUGGGGCCGGUGCUGUCCCAGCUGGGGAUGUGUGGGGCUGAGCCCCCCUGGGGGGACUUGUGGGGCUGGGAGAUAUCCCCUGGGGGGACUUGUGGGGCCGGCUGUUGUCCCCACUGGGGAUGUGUGGGGCUGGGAAUUGUCCCCCGUGGGGCCAAGCCCUGUCCCCAGUGGGGCUCUGUGGGUCCAGGCACCGUCCCCUAUGGGACCUGUGGGACUGAGCCUUGUACCCAUGGGGACCCCUCCCCAAGGGCAACCCGUGGGGCCAAGCAUCGUCCCCCCCGGGGACUUGUGGGGCUGA
Molecule: long non-coding RNA, 1422 nt
Filed under: Cairina moschata (Muscovy duck)
Lineage: Eukaryota; Metazoa; Chordata; Aves; Anseriformes; Anatidae
Description: domestica (muscovy Duck (domestic type)) lncRNA (ENSCMMG00000006692.1)
Source: RNAcentral